This is a long non-coding RNA of Zeugodacus cucurbitae (melon fly), 587 nucleotides long. RefSeq lists it as uncharacterized. The record is from RefSeq and is a predicted model, not a curated record. NCBI's taxonomy places the organism in Eukaryota, Metazoa, Arthropoda, Insecta, Diptera, Tephritidae. The transcript has 3 exons.
GCAUUGUUAGUGUAUAUAGUGUAUACAUUUAUAUGUAUAUAAAGAACAAUGACAAUAAUAUAUGUAUUUACGUUAACACUAUUUUUUUUCUAGAGUUCCUGUUCCAGUAUGUACAAGUUGCGAAUAAUUAUUGGGCAUUAUUGUUUUUGCCUACAUAUCGGUCAUUGAAACCAUGAUUCACUGUAUUAAAAAAAUAAGAAAACGGCGGUUUCUAUGUAAUUUGGAACUUUAGUUUUUCGACCAAACAGUCUUGUGGUUUAUUCAAUUGACUUCGCGUCGCGGUUGUGUGUUUUGAUUUUUUAAUAUACAUAUUCAUUAUUAAAAAGUUAAUAAAGAAUUAAUAAACAAAAAAGUAUAAAUUAUUUAUAGUGAUAACAAAAAAGUGAAAAUGACGAGAAGCGUGGCAGCAGUAGGAAAGGAAAUAAGUCUUUGCGAGUUAGAGGUCAAAAAUGGCAAUCAUAUUGAAAUUCUCAUUGGGAAGUGGAGAACAGCGUGGAAUAAAGUCUUUCCAAACAAAUAGGAUGGGUAAAUAAUCUCAUUGGCCGACGCUUUUCAAGAGUACAAUACGAAUGGUAAAUAAAAAUUGU